Long non-coding RNA from Oncorhynchus tshawytscha (Chinook salmon), 2967 nucleotides. NCBI's taxonomy places the organism in Eukaryota, Metazoa, Chordata, Actinopteri, Salmoniformes, Salmonidae. The record is from Ensembl.
CUCCUGAAAUUAUAUACUCUGGCUCGAGAUUCAGUUUCUGUCCACCUAAAGGUAUAUUUUCUUGCUCGGAUUGAUUCAUUUUCUCUCUGUCUGAGGGUAUAUGUUCUUGCUCACAUAUAUCCAGUGUCUCGCCGCCUGAAGUUAUAUCCUUUUUGUUCAGAUUGAUUCAGUUUCUCUCCGCCUGAAAUUAUAUACUCUGGCUCAGAUUGAUUCAGUUUCUCUCCUCCUGAAGGUAUCUUCUCUUGUUCAGAUUGAUUCCGUUUCUCUCCACCUAAAGGUAUAUUCUCUUGCUCGGAUUGAUUCCGUUUCUCUCCGCCUGAAGUUAUGUACUCUGGCUCGGAUUGAUUCCGUUUCUCUCCGCCUGAAGUUAUAUCCUCUUGUUCAGAUUGAUUCAGUUCCUCUCUGUCUGAGGGUAUGUGUUCUUGCACAUAUAGAUUCAGUUUCUCUCCGCCUGAAGUUAUGUACUCUGGCUCGGAUUGAUUCAGUUUCUCUCCACCUGAAGGUAUAUACUCUGACUCGGAUUGAUUCAUUUUCUCUCCGUCUGUUGGUAUGUGUUCUUGUGCAUUUACGUUCUGUUUCUCUCCGCCUGAAGUUAUGUACUCUGGCUCGGAUUGAUUCAGUUUUUCUCCACCUAAAGGUAUAUUCUCUUGUUCAGAUUGAUUCAGUUCCUCUCUGUCUGAGGGUAUGUGUUCUUGCACAUAUAGAUUCAGUUUCUCUCCGCCUGAAGUUAUGUACUCUGGCUCGAAUUGAUUCAGUUUCUGUCCACCUAAAGGUAUAUUCUCUUGUUCAGAUUGAUUCAGUUUCUCUCCGCCUGAAAUUAUAUACUCUGGCUCGAAUUGAUUCAGUUUCUGUCCACCUAAAGGUAUAUUUUCUUGCUCGAAUUGAUUCAGUUUUUCUCCACCUAAAGGUAUAUUUUCUUGCUCGGAUUGAUUCAUUUUCUCUCUGUCUGAGGGUAUAUGUUCUUGCUCACAUAUAUCCAGUGUCUCGCCGCCUGAAGUUAUAUCCUCUUGUUCAGAUUGAUUCAGUUUCUCUCCGCCUGAAAUUAUAUACUCUGGCUCAGAUUGAUUCAGUUUCUCUCCUCCUGAAGGUAUCUUCUCUUGUUCAGAUUGAUUCCGUUUCUCUCCACCUAAAGGUAUAUUCUCUUGCUCGGAUUGAUUCCGUUUCUCUCCGCCUGAAGUUAUGUACUCUGGCUCGGAUUGAUUCAGUUUCUCUCCGUCUGUUGGUAUGUUUUCUUGUGCAUUUACGUUCUGUUUCUCUCCGCCUGAAGUUAUGUACUCUGGCUCGGAUUGAUUCAGUUUCUCUCCACCUGAAGGUAUAUACUCUGACUCGGAUUGAUUCAUUUUCUCUCCGUCUGUUGUUAUGUGUUCUUGUGCAUUUACGUUCUGUUUCUCUCCGCCUGAAGUUAUGUACUCUGGCUCGGAUUGAUUCAGUUUCUCUCCGCCUGAAGGUAUAUGUUCUUGCUCAGAUUGAUUCAGUUUCUCUCCGUUUGAAUUGAUAUACCUUUGCUCAGACUGAUUCAGUUUCUCUCUGCCUGAAGGUAUUUGCUCUUGCUCGAAUAGAUUUUGUUUCUCUUCAUUUGAAGGUAUAUACUCUUGAUCAGACCGAUUGGGUUGGGCUUCUCUGUUAUUCCACAUCUCUUCCUCUUUCACAUGAUACUUUGCUUCUUUCCAAUCAUCCAUUCUUUCUCCAAUUCCAUUCUCUUCAUUGUACCCUGCCACUCGAUCCCAUUCAUCCUUUACAUCCCCAUUGGGGUUCAGUGCAUGUUGUUCCUCACGUUUGUUAGACAUAUCAUUUUCAUCAUCCACUUUUGUGAAAUUUAUGUCACCUUCCUCCACUCUUUCAACAUGGUGAAAUACCUCUUCUGACCAGUGAGAAGCUUGAGCAGAUUCAUAUGAGAUAAUCUCCUCUUGGUUGAACUUAUCGAUUCUUUCUGUCAUGUCAUUUUCCUUAAUGAAUCCUCCCAAUCUUUCACAAUCAUCGUUACCAUACCCAUAGGGGUGCAAUUCAUCUUCCAAUUGCUCCUCAUGUUUGUUAGACAUAUCAUUUUCAUCCUCUUUUGGGAGAUGAAUAACAUCUUCCUCCAGUCUUUUAACAUGGCGAAAUGCCUCUUCUGAACCGUGGGAGGCUUGAGUGGAUUCAUAUGACAUAUUGUCCUCUUGGUUGAACUCUAUUGGCUUGUUGUAACUUUUCCCCGCCCCAUACUCAAAAGCUUGACUGCUUGUGAAGGUUUCAAAUGCUUGCUCUAGCACUGAUGCAGUUUCAGAUUCCAAGCCUUCGUUUCUCGCCCAUUCAGCAUCUUUCUUUGCUGUUUCAAGCUCUCUUUCCUCCGAUGCAUUCAUGGGACCGUAAGGCAUAUCUAGUAGAGGUUCCUCUUUUUCAAAAUACAUUUCAAAAGGUACAUCAUUAUCAUCAUUCGCUGAGAAAGCAGAAUGUGCCCCUGUCACCGAACCUGCUCUCUCAUAGCUCACUGAAGGGCUGUAGAGCUCUUGAGCAUCAGUGCUGAACACAGUUGGCAUACUGAAGCUGGUCUCGACCCGGUGACUCAUGGCAGAUUCCAGAACGGGUUUCUCUUCAGCAAACCAGGUUCUGACUAUGUUCUGAUCCUCUUCCUCCUUUUCCAUAUCCCACAUGGAUUGUUCCUUGUGGUCAGAUCCAAGCAAAGAUACAACAUCAGCUCCUGCCUCUUCAGUGGGAGGUGAGAGAGGCUCAGCAUAGUUGACUUCUAUAUGGACAUCUUGGGGUCUGAAGUGGUGGACUGAAAUUCCGUCCUGUGGUACUUUGAGGUAAGGCGUUGAACAACUUACCUGGUGGUUGGACCCUACGCCAAAGUCGAUAUGCUCUUCUGUCUUUCGACAACUCUCAGGUGUUUCAUUCAGGGUUACCCGAUUUUGAGUCCAGAUUGGUGAUGCGGACAUCAUUGUCACAUUGGAUCGUGGACUUGCUCUAUGGAUGGUAGAGAUGGGCCUG